AUCCAGUUGACGAGUCCCAAAUAAGACGAAACGCAUGCCCUGGAU
Molecule: non-coding RNA, 45 nt
Organism: Schistosoma curassoni
Lineage: Eukaryota; Metazoa; Platyhelminthes; Trematoda; Strigeidida; Schistosomatidae
Source: Rfam